Molecule: ribosomal RNA, 3732 nt
Filed under: Triticum aestivum (bread wheat)
Lineage: Eukaryota; Viridiplantae; Streptophyta; Magnoliopsida; Poales; Poaceae
Description: partial small subunit ribosomal RNA
Source: RNAcentral
AUGAACGUCUGGCAGAGCAAAGCUGAUGACUACUCGAUAGUUCAGUGUGCCAUGCUUUACGGCUUAGAAUCGGGACUUCAACGACGUUUUGAACGUCAUGGAGCAUAUGAGAUGUUCCAGGAGUUGAAGUUAAUAUUUCAAGCAAAUGCCCGGAUUGAGAGAUAUGAAGUCUCCAAUAAGUUCUAUAGCUGCAAGAUGGAGGAGAACAGUUCUGUCAGUGAGCAUAUACUCAAAAUGUCUGGGUAUAAUAAUCACUUGAUUCAAUUGGGAGUUAAUCUUCCGGAUGAUUGCGUCAUCGACAGAAUUCUCCAAUCACUGCCACCAAGCUACAAGAGCUUUGUAAUGAACUAUAAUAUGCAAGGGAUGAACAAGACUAUUCCCGAGCUCUUCGCAAUGCUGAAAGCUGCGGAGGUAGAAAUCAAGAAGGAGCAUCAAGUGUUGAUGGUCAACAAGACCACUAGUUUCAAGAAAAAGGGCAAAGGGAAGAAGAAGGGGAACUUCAAGAAGAACGGCAAGCAAGUUGCUGCUCAAGAGAAGAAACCCAAGUCUGGACCUAAGCCUGAAACUGAGUGCUUCUACUUCAAGCAGACUGGUCACUGGAAGCGGAACUGCCCCAAGUAUUUGGCAGAUAAGAAGGAUGGCAAGGUGAACAAAGGUAUAUGUGAUAUACAUGUUAUUGAUGUGUACCUUACUAAUGCUCGCAGUAGCACCUGGGUAUUUGAUACUGGUUCUGUUGCUAAUAUUUGCAACUCGAAACAGGGACUACGGAUUAAGCGAAGAUUGGCUAAGGACGAGGUGACGAUGCGCGUGGGAAACGGUUCCAAAGUCGAUGUGAUCGCGGUCGGCACGCUACCUCUACAUCUACCUUCGGGAUUAGUAUUAGACCUAAAUAAUUGUUAUUUGGUGCCAGCGUUGAGCAUGAACAUUAUAUCUGGAUCUUGUUUAAUGCGAGACGGUUAUUCAUUUAAAUCAGAGAAUAAUGGUUGUUCUAUUUAUAUGAGUAAUAUCUUUUAUGGUCAUGCACCCUUGAAGAGUGGUCUAUUUUUAUUAAAUCUCGAUAGUAGUAAUACACAUAUUCAUAAUGUUGAAGCCAAAAGAUGCAGAGUAGAUAAUGAAAGUGCAACUUAUUUAUGGCACUGUCGUUUAGGUCAUAUCGGUAUAAAGCGCAUGAAGAAACUCCAUACCGAUGGACUUUUGGAACCACUUGAUUAUGAAUCACUUGGUACUUGCGAACCGUGCCUCUUGGGCAAGAUGACUAAAACACCGUUCUCCGGUACUAUGGAGAGAGCAACAGAUUUGUUGGAAAUCAUACAUACCGAUGUAUGUGGCCCGAUGAAUAUUGAGGUUCGUGGCGGAUAUCGUUAUUUUCUCACCUUCACAGAUGAUUUAAGCAGAUAUGGGUAUAUUUACUUAAUGAAACAUAAGUCUGAAACAUUUGAAAAGUUCAAAGAAUUUCAGAGUGAAGUUGAAAAUCAUCGUAACAAGAAAAUAAAGUUUCUACGAUCUGAUCGUGGAGGAGAAUAUUUGAGUUACGAGUUUGGCGUACAUUUGAAAAACUGUGGAAUAGUUUCGCAACUCACGCCACCCGGAACACCACAGCGUAAUGGUGUGUCCGAACGUCGUAAUCGUACUUUACUAGAUAUGGUGCGAUCUAUGAUGUCUCUUACUGAUUUACCGCUAUCAUUUUGGGGAUAUGCUUUAGAGACGGCCGCAUUCACGUUAAAUAGGGCACCAUCAAAAUCCGUUGAGACAACGCCUUAUGAACUGUGGUUUGGCAAGAAACCAAAGUUGUCGUUUCUUAAAGUUUGGGGCUGCGAUGCUUAUGUGAAAAAGCUUCAACCUGAUAAGCUCGAACCCAAAUCGGAGAAAUGUGUCUUCAUAGGAUACCCAAAGGAAACUGUUGGGUACACCUUCUAUCACAGAUCCGAAGGCAAAACAUUCGUUGCUAAGAAUGGAUCAUUUCUAGAGAAGGAGUUUCUCUCGAAAGAAGUGAGUGGGAGAAAAGUAGAACUUGACGAGGUAACUGUACCUGCUCCCUUACUGGAAAGUAGUUCAUCACAGAAAACUGUUUCAGUGACACCUACACCAGUUAGUGAGGAAGCCAAUGAUAAUGAUCAUGAAACUUCAGAUCAAGAUACUACUGAACCGCGUAGAUCAACCAGAGUAAGAUCCGCACCAGAGUGGUACGGUAAUCCUGUUCUGGAGGUCAUGCUACUAGAUCAUGAUGAACCUACGAACUAUGAAGAAGCGAUGGUGAGCCCAGAUUCCGUAAAGUGGCUUGAAGCCAUGAAAUCUGAGAUGGGAUCCAUGUAUGAGAACAAAGUAUGGACUUUGGUUGACUUGCCCGAUGAUCGGCAAGCAAUUGAGAAUAAAUGGAUUUUUAAGAAGAAGACUGACGCUGAUGGUAAUGUUACUGUCUACAAAGCUCGACUUGUCGCAAAAGGUUUUCGGCAAGUUCAAGGAAUUGACUACGAUGAGACCUUCUCACCCGUAGCGAUGCUUAAGUCCGUCCGAAUCAUGUUAGCAAUUGCCGCAUUUUAUGAUUAUGAAAUUUGGCAAAUGGAUGUCAAAACUGCAUUCCUAAAUGAAUUUCUGGAAGAAGAGUUGUAUAUGAUGCAACCAGAAGGUUUUGUCGAUCCAAAGGGAGCUAACAAAGUGUGCAAGCUCCAGCGAUCCAUUUAUGGACUGGUGCAAGCCUCUCGGAGUUGGAAUAAACGUUUUGAUAGUGUGAUCAAAGCAUUUGGUUUUAUACAGGCUUUCGGAGAAGCCUGUAUUUACAAGAAAGUGAGUGGGAGCUCUGUAGCAUUUCUGAUAUUAUAUGUGGAUGACAUAUUACUGAUUGGAAAUGAUAUAGAAUUUCUGGAUAGCAUAAAGGGAUACUUGAAUAAAAGUUUUUCAAUGAAAGGCCUCGGUGAAGCUGCUUACAUAUUAGGCAUUAAGAUCUAUAGAGAUAGAUCAAGACGCUUAAUUGGACUUUCACAAAGCACAUACCUUGACAAAUUUUUGAAGAAAUUCAAAAUGGAUCAAGCAAAGAAAGGGUUCUUGCCUGUGUUACAAGGUGUGAAAUUGAGUAAGACUCAAUGCCCGACCACUGCAGAAGAUAGAGAGAAUAUGAAAGAUGUUCCCUAUGCAUCAGCCAUAGGCUCUAUCAUGUAUGCAAUGCUGUGUACCAGACCUGAUGUGUGCCUUGCUAUAAGUUUAGCAGGGAGGUACCAAAGUAAUCCAGGAAUGGAUCACUGGACAGCGGUCAAGAACAUCCUGAAAUACCUGAAAAGGACUAAGGAUAUGUUUCUCGUAUAUGGAAGUGACAAAGAGCUCAUCGUAAAAGGUUACGUUGAUGCAAGCUUUGACACUGAUCCGGACGAUUCUAAAUCGCAAACCGGAUACGUGUUUACAUUAAACGGUGGAGCUGUCAGUUGGUGCAGUUCCAAACAAAGCGUUGUAGCGGGAUCUACAUGUGAAGCGGAAUACAUAGCUGCUUCGGAAGCAGCAAAUGAAGGAGUCUGGAUGAAGGAGUUCAUAUCCGAUCUAGGUGUCAUACCUAGUGCAUCGGGUCCAAUGAAAAUCUUUUGUGACAAUACUGGUGCAAUUGCCUUGGCAAAGGAAUCCAGAUUUCACAAAAGGACCAAACACAUCAAGAGACGCUUCAACUCCAUCCGGGAUCUAGUCCAGGUGGGAGACAGAGAUUUGCAAGAUACAUACGGAUCUGAAUGUUGCAGACCCGUUGACUAA